Molecule: ribosomal RNA, 461 nt
Filed under: Myochrous sp. BMNH#704434
Lineage: Eukaryota; Metazoa; Arthropoda; Insecta; Coleoptera; Chrysomelidae
Description: partial 16S ribosomal RNA
Rfam family: Bacterial large subunit ribosomal RNA
Source: RNAcentral
UGGCCGGAGUAUCUUGACUGUGCAAAGGUAGCAUAAUCAUUAGUUUUCUAAUUAAAAACUGGAAUGAAAGGUUUGAUGAGAAAAUUUCUGUCUCAAAUUAAUUUUUUUUAAAUUUUAUUUUUAAGUAAAAAAGCUUAAAUAAUAUUAAAAGACGAUAAGACCCUAUAGAGUUUUACUAUAAAAAAACUAUUUUGUAUUAGAAUAAACAAAAGAGUAGCAAAAUUAUAGUUUGGUUGGGGUGAUCAAAAAAUUAAAAUAACUUUUUUUUGAAAAAACAUUGAUUUAUGAAUAGUUGAUCCUUUAUUAAAGAUUGUAAGAUUAAAUUACCUUAGGGAUAACAGCGUAAUUUUUUUAGAGAGUUCAUAUCGAAAAAGGAGAUUGCGACCUCGAUGUUGGAUUAAGAUAAAAGUUUGGGUGAAGAAGCUGAAUUUUUAGGUCUGUUCGACCUUUAAAAUCUUACA